UACGUAGGGUGCAAGCGUUGUCCGGAUUUAUUGGGCGUAAAGAGCUCGUAGGCGGUUUGUCGCGUCGGAUGUGAAAACCCAAUGGCUUAACCUUGGGCCUGCAUUCGAUACGGGCAAACUAGAGUGUGGUAGGGGAGACUGGAACUCCUGGUGUAGCGGUGGAAUGCGCAGAUAUCAGGAAGAACACCGAUGGCGAAGGCAGGUCUCUGGGCCAUAACUGACGCUGAGGAGCGAAAGCGUGGGGAGCGAACAGGAUUAGAAACCCUAGUAGUCC
RNAcentral lists this ribosomal RNA (274 nucleotides) under uncultured prokaryote. RNAcentral describes it as "partial 16S ribosomal RNA". It matches the Rfam family "Bacterial small subunit ribosomal RNA", at positions 524 to 796 of the family's 1533-position model. The record is from RNAcentral.